Molecule: long non-coding RNA, 2274 nt
Filed under: Canis lupus familiaris (dog)
Lineage: Eukaryota; Metazoa; Chordata; Mammalia; Carnivora; Canidae
Description: lncRNA (ENSCAFG00000054026.1)
Source: RNAcentral
UUUUUUUUUUUUUCUUUUGAGAUGUAUGGCUCAGGGGAGGAAUUCAGGUAUCAAAAUGUAUGGGGGAAAAUGGAAUCUCCUGUGAUUCUAGGCCUAGUUAUCUUAAAAUAUGUAUAAAGGGAAAAUACGUCAAGUGCAGAGGUUUUUAUUGGUUUUGCUCAUUAAUGUAUCCCAAUGCUUAGGACAGUUUCGCACUCUUUCUAGGUGUUCCAGAAAUAUUUGCUGAAAGAAUGAAGUAAGGAACAAAUGGGUGAAUGAGGAAGACCCCUCAAGAACAAUUUCUCCCACUACAUGGGAUGGUCAUAGUUGCAAGCUCUUCCAUGAAUGAGAGUAAAGCAAAUGUGUCACAAAGCAACUGGUGAAUUUAAAUGAUGGGUAUGCUGAUGUUCACUUUACUUUUUUUCCAACUAUUCUGAAAAUUUUAAAUGUUACAAAAAUAAAGAGGGAAAAACAUGAGAGAAUAAUUGAUAUAUGCUCCCAUCCCUGUCUCUGUUGACCUGAUUCCAUCUGCUUUCACAGAUAACUAUUUUUAUUAUUUUCUUCUGUAUCACUAGAAAAAAAAACUUUAAUAUAGAUACAAACACAAAUGUGUAUAUAUAUAUAUAUAUAUAUAUUUUUCCCCUUUCUUAUAUAAAGAAACAACAUACCCAGUAGUUUUGCUGUGUGCUUUCCUCAUUCCUUCUCUUUCUUCUUCAAUCCCCUCCUCAUUCUCACUCUUUUUUUCUCCUUCAUUCUUGGUUUAAUAAUAAAUCCUGAUACAUUUUUCAUAUAAGUUCAAAGAGAGGUUUCUUAUUCUGUAGUUAGCAAAAAAUUUCAUACAGUGAUUAUGUCACCAUUCAUAGGUUAGAAAAAUCCUAUAAUUAGUAACUUCAUUAUGUAUUAAAUUCAUAUACAUAUGUACAAUAUGAUAUUAUUUAAUAAUUGAGAUUUUAUAUGAUAUAUUUUAAUAUCUCAUAAGAUUAAUUCUCCUUUAUAGUUUUUUUUUCUUUUUUUUCCCUCAAUAUUCUUGAUUGGUUAUUUUUUUCAUAACAAAUUUAGAAUUAGGGCAGCUUGAGUGGCGAAGCGGUUUAGCACCACCUUCAGCCAGGAUGUGAUCCUGGAGACCGAGGAUAGAGUCCCAUGUCAGGCUCCCUGCAUGGAGCCUGCUUCUCCCUCUGCCUGUGUCUGUGCCUCUCUCUCUCUCUCUCUUUCUCUCUCAUGAAGAAAUAAAUAAAAUCUUAAAAAAAAAACUUUAGAAUCAGUCUAGUCAUGGGAAAGCAAACAAUAUGUAGAUAGAUAGUCUGUUGAUAGAUUAAGUUAUUCAGGAAGCAUUUUAUAUUAAAUUUAUAAAUAAGCAUUGGGAGAAUUGUUCUAUUCCUGUUAUUAUAUUUAAAAACAUGGUAUAUAUCUCCAUUUAUUUUAUGUAUUUUUUCAAAUUCUUGAUCAAGCAUCAGUUACUCCUCUGAGAAUAUACAACUGAAUCUCAACAUAGUUACUUCUCCAUUUCCUCAUUUCAUCUAUAUGUUACCAUUUGUUCUAUCAAUGUGAGUAUCAUGUUAUGAUGAAAUUAUUCCUUUUUAUGACUAUCUCCCUUUCUGACCAUAAUUUCCAUCAGAGAAGGAGUCAUGGAUUUCAUAUAAGGAACUCAAUAUAUAUUUGUUGGAAUGAAGCAAACUAUGUAGUACACUUUCUCAUUAUUCCCAUGUAAUAGUUUUUUAAGUAAGAUUUAAAGACUUGUGACUUGGAUAAUCUUAAAAUUACCAAGCUAUUAAGUGAAGUCUAUCUCUCUAGAUGAAGACCCUCUGCUUUAAAAUCCUAUAUUUUUCCAUAUCCUAUGCUAUUUAACAGGAAACUUAUGUGCCAAAGUGUUAUGGUUUUUAAUUUUAUGUCUUUCCACCUCCAGAGAAAUUAGCAUUGUCACACGUAAUUUUUGUGAUAAUGUGAAAUCUAAAGACACCUCUAAGUGAUGAAAUUUCAUGCUAUGGCGUGAGGAAAAGAGAUAUAUGCAUGUCCAUUUGAUCUUCUUACUGAGACUAAGUUACAUCAUCAUCAUCAUCAUCAUAGAAACAAAGCAUAUGCAUCAGACUUUGAAUCAAUAUUUUAACUUGAUUUCAUUAAAAUUUGUCAACACUGGUAUUCUUAUAUUGCUUUUACAGAUGAGGAAUCUGAGGCUGAGAGAAUUUAAGCAACUAUGCCAAGGCCCUAGGAUUGGUUAGGGGAAGAAGCAGAAGCAAAUCCAGAUCUCCUUAAUUCCAAACUCAAGUUCUUCCUGCUGAGCUGCUUACCAUAAAGGCA